GUUUUCUUUCCCGCUCUGGCAGUUGUAUUACAUGGGUUGAGCUGGAAGGACAUGUUUUUUUCAAAUGUAAUUUAAGAGCCGUGCUUCUUUGAGAGCUUAACAUCUUCACGGAGAAUCCUGUGUGUAAGAUCAGUGUGUGAGGGUAAAGCAGCCAUUCCAUAAAUGGUUGUCUUCAUAUCUGGAAUUCAACAUUGAAUAUUGAAUAUUUAAUAUGUAGCACUAUAAUAAAGUAUAAAACAACCUUAUAAAAGGUUUACAUGUCUUAAAUCUUCCUGAACAUUAACGAACCCGCACUCGUGGAACAAUAUAAUUAGGUAUAAUUAAUAUAUAAAUACCACCAGUGUUACAUUUGGUCUUAGUAUUUUUAUGUAAUUAAUUAAUAAUUGCUUUAUUUAAUCAGCUUAUGUCUUCUUUUGUAAUACUCUUAAUCAGAAAUAUUUAUUUUAAACAGCAUUUUUGAUUUAAUACCUUGAGUUAACAGUUACUGAAGUGUCCAUCUCAACAGCAGAUAUAACUUUCCCAAGUUGAUCCACCUGAGAUGCACGGCGUACCCACAAACACGGCCCUGAAGUACAGCUGGUGCUUUUAAAAUCUUCAAUGAAGUCUAGUACUUCAAAUAGGGUGGCUACGACAUGUCUACAGCAUCCGUCAAUUCUGGAAUAAAUUAAUUCGUAUGCAAUCAUGUUAUUUAAAAAAAUGAGACAUGAGCCAAAAAUAAAAUAAAACAGGUUGUGAAUACAGUAUAAAACAUUUGUUUUAAGUAUUUUGAGGCACUUGUCCUAAAACCAAACCAAGCAAUUGUUCACUUUACUUUAUGACAUAUAAUAAUAAUUUCUGCUGUAAUUUUUUGAUUGGGAAAAUGUUAAGCAAAUUGGAAAAAUUUUCUUGGGGAAAAGGGUAAAAUAUUUUGAGCCAC
Molecule: long non-coding RNA, 916 nt
Organism: Dreissena polymorpha
Lineage: Eukaryota; Metazoa; Mollusca; Bivalvia; Myida; Dreissenidae
Exons: 3
Source: RefSeq, a predicted model, not a curated record